UCGGGAAUAUUGCGCAAUGGAGGAAACUCUGACGCAGUGACGCCGCGUAUAGGAAGAAGGUUUUCGGAUUGUAAACUAUUGUCGUUAGGGAAGAGAAAGGACAGUACCUAAGGAGGAAGCUCCGGCUAACUACGUGCCAGCAGCCGCGGUAAUACGUAGGGAGCGAGCGUUAUCCGGAAUUAUUGGGUGUAAAGGGUGCGUAGACGGGAGAACAAGUUAGUUGUGAAAUACCUCGGCUCAACUGAGGAACUGCAACUAAAACCUGUACUUCUUGAGUGCAGGAGAGGUAAGUGGAAUUCCUAGUGUAGCGGUGAAAUGCGUAGAUAUUAGGAGGAACACCAGUGGCGAAGGCGACUUACUGGACUGUAACUGACGUUGAGGCACGAAAGUGUGGGGAGCAAACAGGAUUAGAUACC
RNAcentral lists this ribosomal RNA (416 nucleotides) under uncultured bacterium. RNAcentral's name for it is "bacterial SSU rRNA". It matches the Rfam family "Bacterial small subunit ribosomal RNA", at positions 355 to 786 of the family's 1533-position model. The record is from RNAcentral.